ACCUAAAACCUAUUGUUUCCAUUGACCAUCGAAAACAUAAGUUUCCUCUUCCCUCAUUUUUGUUUACUGGUAACCCUAAACACCUAGACAACAUGCAGCCACACCCCACAUUUCUCUACUCUCUCUCACAACAAAAAAAUCUGACGACCGGAGUAGAUUCCAGCCGUUAACCGGCGUGGUUCCGACAAGCACCCCCCCCAACCUCCUGCUUUCACCAGAAAUUAACCCCCUCCACCCUCUUAGUUCCGAUGGAGAAAUCAACUGGCCAGCCACCAUGGUGGUGGUGGCACAUGUCGGAGGCAACGAAGAGAGGGAAUCGCGGGAGAUAGAGAGAGUGUGUCGAUAGGGAGAAGGAAGGCACCGACCACCACCGUCUGGUGGUGGCACACAGCGGCGCAACAACAGAGAAGCGAGAGAAUGAGAGAACGCAGCAAGAGAGAGAGACCGAGGAGAGAGGGAUACGACGGUGGUAUGACGGCGGAGGCAGUGGUGCGCAGGAAACAGCGACGACGCCGGCGACGGCGGUACUUGUUCCGACGGGUCUUCAGUCCGGUAAACAUAUCUCCGCUCAUUUCUGUUUCAGAUCAGUAGAUCUGUUACAUUCCUUUAACAUUUUUCCCUCUUGUUUUUUGGUAAUGAUGAGCACGAUGUUGAUGAUGUGAAGAUGACGGUGGUGGUGCGACCCCGACUUCGGGCCAGUGUCGACAGCAGAGGUAGUGAUCUUAUUCAGCUGGUUUUGUUUUGGUUCGGGUCAGUUCAGGACUGUUUAGGUUCGGGUUUCUCUCUAGUCGACACGGUUCCAUCUCGGUUUGGGUUCUGAUCAAACACGGUUCGACUCGGUUCAGAACCGAUCAGAUUUGGUGCGGGUCUCGGCUCAGCUGUGAUUCGGGUUUAGUCAACAGUGCGGUUUGGUGUUCGGUUCAACGCUAGUUAAUCGGUCAAAUUCGGUCAAUCGGUCAAAGUCAGUCAAAGCUCAGUCAACUCCAGACCUGGAAUGUUAUAGUUGCAUGCUAGCCAAUUCACAUUCUUGGAACGACACUAUGGAAUACACACUUAGCUAGCUUUGCACAAGGAUAUCAAGCCGUUCAACUUUGAUUUGAGGUUAUCGGGAGGAUCAUUGACAUGGCUGGAUCAUCAAGUUUCGGUUUUUUGGAUCAGAAAAUGACGACGGAAAUAACAUUAUAAUGCACAACUAAUGAAUUUAGCAGGUUGUAUUGUGCUUUAAAAUCGACUCCAGGACCAGUUUGACCCGUAAAAUGUCGCCCAAAGUUUGAUUCACAUCUUGUAAAUCUUUUAGGUGUGUGUUAAUUUUGUGUGAUUUAUUUAGACAUGAUUUGGAUGUUUAACAUAAAUGUUGGUAUACAACUACUUUCAAAAGAAAUAUUGAUGUGAAUUUUUACGAUUGAGGUAAGGCUUAAAAAGUGCGUAUG
This is a long non-coding RNA of Helianthus annuus (common sunflower), 1430 nucleotides long. RefSeq lists it as uncharacterized. The transcript has 3 exons. NCBI's taxonomy places the organism in Eukaryota, Viridiplantae, Streptophyta, Magnoliopsida, Asterales, Asteraceae. The record is from RefSeq and is a predicted model, not a curated record.